Molecule: ribosomal RNA, 459 nt
Filed under: uncultured bacterium
Lineage: Bacteria
Description: partial 16S ribosomal RNA
Rfam family: Bacterial small subunit ribosomal RNA
Source: RNAcentral
CCUACGGGUGGCAGCAGUGAGGAAUAUUGGUCAAUGGCCGGAAGGCUGAACCAGCCAAGCCGCGUGAGGGAGGAAGGCGCAGAGCGUCGCAGACCUCUUUUGCCGGGGGACAAAAGGCCGGACGGGUCCGGUUCUGAGGGUACCCGGAGAAAACGCAUCGGCUACCUCCGUUCCAGCAGCCGCGUGAAUACGGAGGAUGCGAGCGUUAUCCGGUUUCAGUGGGUUUAAGGGGUACGCAGGCGGGCCUUUAAGCCGGCGGUGAAAUCGCGGGGCUCACACCCGCCGAGCCGUCGGAACUGGGGGCCUUGAGUGCGGCGGAGGCAUGCGGAAGGCGCGGUGUAGCGGUGAAAUGCAUAGAUAUCGCGCAGAACCCCGAUGGCGAAGGCAGCGUGCCGUGCCGCCACUGACGCUGAGGCACGAAAGCGCGGGGAUCGAACAGGAUUAGAUACCCGUGUAGUC